AAGAUGAACGCUGGCGGCGUGCCUAAUACAUGCAAGUCGAGCGAGCUUGCCUAGAUGAUUUUAGUGCUUGCACUAAAUGAAACUAGAUACAAGCGAGCGGCGGACGGGUGAGUAACACGUGGGUAACCUGCCCAAGAGACUGGGAUAACACCUGGAAACAGAUGCUAAUACCGGAUAACAACACUAGACGCAUGUCUAGAGUUUGAAAGAUGGUUCUGCUAUCACUCUUGGAUGGACCUGCGGUGCAUUAGCUAGUUGGUAAGGUAACGGCUUACCAAGGCAAUGAUGCAUAGCCGAGUUGAGAGACUGAUCGGCCACAUUGGGACUGAGACACGGCCCAAACUCCUACGGGAGGCAGCAGUAGGGAAUCUUCCACAAUGGACGAAAGUCUGAUGGAGCAACGCCGCGUGAGUGAAGAAGGGUUUCGGCUCGUAAAGCUCUGUUGGUAGUGAAGAAAGAUAGAGGUAGUAACUGGCCUUUAUUUGACGGUAAUUACUUAGAAAGUCACGGCUAACUACGUGCCAGCAGCCGCGGUAAUACGUAGGUGGCAAGCGUUGUCCGGAUUUAUUGGGCGUAAAGCGAGUGCAGGCGGUUCAAUAAGUCUGAUGUGAAAGCCUUCGGCUCAACCGGAGAAUUGCAUCAGAAACUGUUGAACUUGAGUGCAGAAGAGGAGAGUGGAACUCCAUGUGUAGCGGUGGAAUGCGUAGAUAUAUGGGAAGAACACCAGUGGCGAAAGCGGCUCUCUGGUCUGCAACUGACGCUGAAGCUCGAAAGCAUGGC
This 780-nucleotide ribosomal RNA is filed under the name uncultured bacterium. RNAcentral describes it as "bacterial SSU rRNA". It matches the Rfam family "Bacterial small subunit ribosomal RNA", at positions 26 to 765 of the family's 1533-position model. The record is from RNAcentral.